AGGGUAAUAGCUCAGUGGUAGAGCGCAUGCUUAGCAUGCAUGAGGUCCUGAGUUCAACUCCAAGUACCUUUA
This 72-nucleotide transfer RNA is filed under the name Camelus bactrianus (Bactrian camel). It matches the Rfam family "tRNA". Rfam says of the family: Transfer RNA (tRNA) molecules are approximately 80 nucleotides in length. Lineage: Eukaryota; Metazoa; Chordata; Mammalia; Artiodactyla; Camelidae. The record is from Rfam by way of RNAcentral. RNAcentral also lists the same sequence under 3 other names.